Long non-coding RNA from Melanotaenia boesemani (Boeseman's rainbowfish), 244 nucleotides. RefSeq lists it as uncharacterized. The transcript has 3 exons. NCBI's taxonomy places the organism in Eukaryota, Metazoa, Chordata, Actinopteri, Atheriniformes, Melanotaeniidae. The record is from RefSeq and is a predicted model, not a curated record.
UCUUGCUGCCAUGCCACAAUAAACUAGUUGAGCCAUCGCUAACUGCCAAUCAGACUUUGAGUGGAGACCUUGUGAAAAAAUUGUUUCACCAGAAAUCCAUUUACAUCAGGCCUGACAAGGUCAUUCUAAGUGAGGAAAAAGAAUCUUCAUCUUCUGAUGGCGAGCGAAGCCAUUUAGACAGGCAGGCUUUGGAUACAGACAAAAUGGCCUCUGGUAGUGUGCUUGCCUUUUCCAAAGAAACUGU